Molecule: long non-coding RNA, 2976 nt
Filed under: Lactuca sativa (garden lettuce)
Lineage: Eukaryota; Viridiplantae; Streptophyta; Magnoliopsida; Asterales; Asteraceae
Description: long non-coding RNA (LSAT_LNC006152)
Source: RNAcentral
GAACAUCCACGCUUCCGCUUUCCUAAAGGCUACAUACAAAACCCAUCAGAUAACAAAUAUUUGAAUAAUUACUAGAGGCUCCACUAUAUCUCAAGUACACAAAUAAAAAACCUCAAAAGCACACUCCCAUCAUUAAAUUACAGGUGAAUAAUACAACAUUUAAUAUAAUAUAAUAUAUCGAAAUAUAUUUAUAUUUAAUUAACAUAUCAACCCUUGUAAGUAAAACCCAUUUACUGGGUUUUUUCUUAUGAUGUAAGAAACAGCUCAAAUAGUCAUCGAUCAAUAGCUGCUCCGGUUGGACCGGUUCAAUAUCUUCAGAUCAAUCUACAACAUAUUAUUAUAGUAAUUUAUAAGCCACAAGAGAUAUAGAUUCACCAUGAAAUUAACAAUAUUACACGCUACUUUCAGUAAUUAAUAAUCGACACACAUUCAAUUCAAGUUUCAAUAAAGCAUUAACAAUCAUAACCUUUGAGAACAAGCAACGUUCAUUUCAGUCAGCAGAAAAUGCUUCCAAUCUGAUAACCAAGAAAGAGUAGUAGUAACAUAAGAGUAUCAAAUCUACAAAACUUAAACAACAACGAACGCAUAAAACAAGAACAUGAUAGUGUGUGUUGGCAAUGGUAUUGAAAUGGAAUGGAAUCCCCUGUGAAAUGACAAGAAAACCGGAAUUAAGAUGAUGAUGAUGAUGAUGGAAUUGGCUUUGUAAUUUGUAAUUUGUACAUAGACAGAUAGAAAACAAACAACGAACCGAUAGCAGCAGCUUUCUUAAAAUCUGUGAAAUAUCAUUCAUCUUCAGUCACCAUCAUCAAUCAGUACCUAACUACAAUGAUCAAGAGAUAACAAUGGAAGAUGAAGAAAGGGUUAGCUAGCUAAGCUUCCUAUUUGGGAUUCGAACCCAAGAAAUCCAACUUAUCAGCCAAGAAAUUCACAUCUUCAACACCUGAUCUUUCACUAAACAACUCUUCCCAGAAUUCAUCAUCAAGUUCUUUCUCUUCACACAUCUCAUUAGCUUCUUCUUCUUCUUCUACUACUUCUUCUUCUUCUUCCUCUUGGUUUCUUUUGGCUCUACCAAAUCCUUGAAUCUCUAAAGCAAGUGCCUCAAGCUCAGACACCUGAGAAAACUCCUCCUCCUCUGGUUCAUCUUUAAUAAGUUUGUUUCUGGUUCGACUCGAUUCCCCACUUUCAACACCAUCAAACCCUCUAAUGGCGUCUCGAAGGUCCUGUCUUCUACCAUGUUGGACUAACUUUCUGACAAAUUCAGGAUUUUGCAUAGCUUUCGCCAAGAAACUCAUCACCUUCUGCUGUUUUUUCUCUGUCCCACGUAUCCUGACUUCCAUGGCUUGAAGUUGAGCCCUAGUGUUCUGUUGCUGUUGUCGGAGGUUUACUAACUCCAUCAUCAGAACUUGCUUUUCGUGUUUCAGACGCCCAACUUCAUCCAAUCCGAAUGAUUCAGGACAACCUUGAGAAGCAGCUGAAGAUGAUGAUGAAGAAGAAGAAGGCGCGCGUCUUCUCUUGAUGUUCUUCAAAACGUGUCUUUGACCCCUCACGAACGCUUCAUUCGCAAACUCCCAUACAUCCGGAUCUAUCUUUCUAAAACCCUGCGUUCAGAAACCGAAAGCUCUAUAGCCAACAAUUUCCGAAUAAAACAUAUACUGUAUAUACUAACUAAAAAUAUCUAGACUAAUUUCCGGUAUUCUUCAUUCAUCAUUUCGUAGCCCCAUCUUUUGCCAUAAUCAAUCACAUCUUCUUCUAGCUUUGCAUAAAUGAAACUUUGAUUAUUUUUAAUUUGAUUGCGAAUUAAAACCAUGGGAAAAAAGAGAGAGAAAGGGAGUGGGAGAAAGACUUACAUAAGUAUUGAGUUGCCUGACAAAACUAGAGAAAUUGUUGUGUUUAAAGUAUCGAGGGAGGAGAUUAGUAGCGAAAGCAUGUGGAUCCAAUACAGUGAAGCUUUGACCACCUCUGCUCCAAGAAACAAUGUGGUCAAUACUUCGGUCGUCGACCAUAUCAUAGAUUUUCGUCAAAAAAGGUGGGGGCCCAGCAUCAUGAAGACCCUCCAUUGGCUGUGGAAGUGGUGCUUGAAUCGCCGUUGGCCGCCUUACGCCGUCGCUACCACCACCACCACCACCACUUGAUGGAUACUCCUCCUUAACGACCGAGAAGAAAGGAUUCAUAAUCGACCCCUUCUAAAUCACAAGUCUUUAUCGACGGGUUUUAAUUUACCAAGAUAAUAAACCCAAACGAAUCACAAAUCCAGAAUCUUUCGUAUGAAAACCCAGAUGGGUUUAUUCAAUUUUGCAGCAAAACUCAGGAAAUAGAAGAUAGAAACUUGUACUACGACUACGACGAUGAAACUCAAUAAAUCAGAACAAGGUCAAUUACAAAUCUCAGAUGGGUUCAUCAAAAUUAGCAUCAAAACCUAGGAAAUAUAAGAUUAAAGUUUGCACGACGAUAAUUAGACCAAACAAAUUACAACAAGAUAAUCACAAAUCUCACGAAUUUUCACUUUUGAAAACUCAGAUGGGUUCAUCAAACUUUGCAGCAAACCCGAGAAUAUAUAAAAUAAAUUAAAACUUGCUGUGAUGAAAGAUCAAACAGAUUGGUAUACGCAAAGACCAAAUCUAGAGUAGAUUAGGGCUUUUGAGCAAAAUUUCAGUUAAAAACAGAUAACAUAAAUGGAAUCUAAAGGACAAACUGACAUUUGAGGAAAGUUGUUGAUAACUGCCAGAAUCAUGGCUGGCGCUGAGCUAUCCCCUUUAAGAAAGUUCUGGUAUACUAAAUUUAUGGGUUUUUUUGUAAAAACAAGAGUUGAAUUUGGGCAAAAAUGCAGACGAAAUGUGCAAAAUUUCAGGGCAAGAAGGAAGACGAAGGUUCUAGAUACUACUUAUCCGAACCUUCCACACUACUUAUAGCGAACCUUCUCUUCCUCGCUAUUAUUUUACUUUUUUUUUUUAAUUAUUGAUUUGUAUAGAAACAAAC